CCGGCCGCCGCCGCAGCCAGGCCAGCGUGGCGGCGCGCCACCGAAGCUGCUGCUGCCCCUGCUCCCGAUCCACUACUGCUGCUCCUCCUCGUCUCCAAGCUGCUGCACCUCCUCCUCGUCUCCAAUCUGCUGCUGCUCCUCCUCGUUCCCUCAAGCUUCUGCAGCAAGUGAAGAACAAGCGCCUCCGGCAAGCACGAGUGCCACUGCAACCUCUUCCCUUCCUCAACUCCUUGCUGCCCCUUCUCCUUGGGUGAAUCCCCAUCAAAAUCUCUCUCCCUUUCCCCCCUGUUGCUUGCUGUUUGUAUGAACUGAAAGUCAGAACAUGUGUUGAUUUUGUGUGCCUACAAGCUGUUUGUAUAGCCACUUAUUGGGAUAAAACUUCAGAAUGUAUGCAGGUUUUUUAUAAAGAAAUCUAUAAUCAAGGACACCGUCUUCUUCACACGCCACCGAUCCCGAGAUCAUGAUGUGCUAGUUAAUGGCCCUGAUUAAUUGGCUCAAAGAUGGACUGACUUCACAAUUCAAUCGUCAACGAUCUGAUUCUUCAUUUUAUCAACAGUAAUACAUGACCAUAAAGAGAAACUAAAGUAUAGUGCAGAUAUCUGCAAUGUAAAGACUCGAUGGCUAUAGCUUCAAUUCAGAAUUUUUCACACAACAAGGUAAUCGAUGAUGCAAAUAUCAGCUGCAGAUUUCUGAAACUUGUUUCGCUCAGAAGAUAUCCAAAUAUAUAGGCAACUAAACUUUUCUUAUCAAGUUUUCAGAGCACAACGAAAGAAUCACAAAUAAGGACAGUAAAAAAAAAUGCAAGAUUUUAGAGUCGUCAAUCUGUAAGUGAAUAAAGAGGCACAAAUUGGGAACUGCUCACCAGAUUAGAAUUUCUUCUUUGCUCUCUUCUAUCAUAUCCCUCCACACUUGAACUCUUUCCGAUAAGAUAAAACUCUGAAUGACAAGAAUGAGUACGAUACAGCUUUCUUUGCUCCACCAUCUCACAACCUCCUGCACUCUCCUUCUCUUCUCCUCGUGCUCUCUCUUCUCAUCACAAUGUCAUGGAUCCACCUGGGUCCCACGGAAUGUCAACUCGAACCUUGUUUUUUCCUUGUUGACAAAGCACCCGUGAAAUCCCUGAAAUACGCUCACAACAGGAACUAAAAAUGACAGAGUUGACCCCCUCCAAAUUAUCAAUGGAGUAACCAAUGGCAUACGCAUAUCGAUACCACACAUGGCGAGGAUGAUAUAUCACAUUAAGCUCAAUUAUAUCAUAUGAAUAGAAUCUAGGAGAGAUCACUGGACCAAUACCCUCUAAGUCAUCAAUUGAGAAACCAAUUAUGUAAGCAUAGCAAUAAAGCACAUGGUGAUGAUGAUAAGUAUUCGCAUGUGAGAUAAGAGUAAUAUUAGAGCAUGCAUCCUUAGGCAACAUUCUAGCAUUUGGGUAACACGAGUCAUCAUCAUCAAUUUCAGAAGUGGCACUAAUAGAGUAUGCAUCAUCAAGUUUAAGAAAGUAACACUUCAGUUCUACCUUUAGUGAUGGUAUCAUGCAAUGCAAGGUAGUAGCAGAAAUUUCAUAAGGAAGGAUGUCACAGAGAAUAUUAGAUAAACCUUUAACCACACAUUCUUGCAUGAGAAUGGGCAUGUCCACUUGAAUCUCUUCUUUAUCUCCAUUUUCUGCUUCAUUAGCUUCUUCUUUGUCUUCAGGAUUGACAACUACUGUAUUUUUGCUACUUGCACAGCCCACCUCUUGCUCAUUCCGAAUCACAUGUUCUUGAUCUGCAUCUGAAGGUAUAGCUGAUUGUUGAUGGAACAUCUUCUCUUGCUGCAUCUUCAUAAAAUCUUCAAACCAAGCUUGUUGUUCUGCUUCAAAAUUUAACUGAGCUUGUGACUUUGCCUCUUCAUUCCUAAAUCCCUGCAUAGGAUAGCUAGAAGAAAAAGAUGAGACCUCAGGGCUGUCGUUCCUAUAUGUCAUGUUUGGAUUUCCAGGCCAUCUGGGUGAAUAAUUGUUGUGGUAUGGGUCAUGCCAUGGAGCAAAACUCAUACCAUAACAAUCUGGAGUGUAAGGUUUACCACACCGACAAUCGGCGGGUGUAUGACCCUGAAAUCCGCAAACAUGGCAUGUAGGACCAACAAAUGGAUACCCUAGAGAAUAAGGAUCAUAACAGCUAGGCCCAUCCACUAAAUAUGUACCAUGUUGCAUAGAUAAUUCAUGUAAAGUUUGAUUACUCAUAUUUCCUUGAAGAUUUCCCAUAUGAUUAGUGCUACUGCUAACAUGCC
Brachypodium distachyon (stiff brome) is the source of this 2262-nucleotide RNA transcript. RefSeq lists it as uncharacterized. The record is from RefSeq and is a predicted model, not a curated record. Lineage: Eukaryota; Viridiplantae; Streptophyta; Magnoliopsida; Poales; Poaceae. The transcript is spliced from 2 exons.